Molecule: long non-coding RNA, 765 nt
Organism: Photinus pyralis (common eastern firefly)
Lineage: Eukaryota; Metazoa; Arthropoda; Insecta; Coleoptera; Lampyridae
Exons: 2
Source: RefSeq, a predicted model, not a curated record
UUCAGUCUGACUACUGGUCGUAAUUAAGUAGGUAGUCUGGCGGGGUUUACCUUUUAGGUCGGAUUUCCCCUCCUGGCCGUUAAAGAAAUAGAUCACCAUCACCCUUUGGAAUAGGUACCGGAAUAGUAUAAAAAAUUCAUGCGUGAAAGUGUUGACAUUUCUGAAUAAGUUUAUGAGCUAUUUUGCCUGCCGAAUUAACUACAGUAUAGUAUUGCUAUAGGCCCUUAGUAGCCCUCUGAAGAAAGUGCGUAACUUAAUUAUUAGUUUUAAAAUGUAUUUAAUAACUUUCGUAUCGAGAAAAAAAGAAAAAGGCGGACUUACAUUUUGUUCGACAUUCAACAGUUGAUAAACAGACGAGAGUUGCGAUAACACACGCGAUUGGGAACUUAUUGUAUAAAAUGUACAUUGCACUUGUUUGUCUUGUGGUCUUCACAACACUGCGCGUUACGCCGAUUACCAAAAUCCUUAAUCUCUCUCCUAGCAAAUCAUCUGCUUAAAGCGAUAUUUGGGGCAUCCUCAAGGACGCGCAAGUAAACAUUACGCCUCUUUUUUUGGGACUUUCCGGAUGGUUUAUAUGCCGUAGUUUUGUACAAAUAAGUACAUUUCUUAUUUUCUCGUUUAUUAAUUUAAUUUAUUUAAACGAUUAAAUUGUAAAAGGUAAAUUAUCCAAAAUACCUACCAGGAAUUAGAUAUACAAGCGCAGCUGUAUAAAUUUACGAUAUUUUCAUAGGUACAUGUAAAUAAUAAAUUUAAUUAAUUACGUAA